AACGAACGCUGGCGGCAUGCCUAACACAUGCAAGUCGAACGAAGCCUUCGGGCUUAGUGGCGCACGGGUGCGUAACGCGUGGGAAUCUGCCCUUGGGUUCGGAAUAACAGUUAGAAAUGACUGCUAAUACCGGAUGAUGUCUUCGGACCAAAGAUUUAUCGCCCCAAGGAUGAGCCCGCGUAGGAUUAGGUAGUUGGUGGGGUAAUGGCCCACCAAGCCGACGAUCCUUAGCUGGUCUGAGAGGAUGAUCAGCCACACUGGGACUGAGACACGGCCCAGACUCCUACGGGAGGCGGCAGUGGGGAAUAUUGGACAAUGGGCGAAAGCCUGAUCCAGCAAUGCCGCGUGAGUGAUGAAGGCCUUAGGGUUGUAAAGCUCUUUUACCAGGGAUGAUAAUGACAGUACCUGGAGAAUAAGCUCCGGCUAACUCCGUGCCAGCAGCCGCCGUAA
Molecule: ribosomal RNA, 450 nt
Filed under: uncultured bacterium
Lineage: Bacteria
Description: partial 16S ribosomal RNA
Rfam family: Bacterial small subunit ribosomal RNA
Source: RNAcentral